This 117-nucleotide ribosomal RNA is filed under the name Paenibacillus sp. NFR01. RNAcentral's name for it is "Bacterial large subunit ribosomal RNA". It matches the Rfam family "Bacterial large subunit ribosomal RNA", at positions 2801 to 2925 of the family's 2925-position model. Lineage: Bacteria; Bacillati; Bacillota; Bacilli; Caryophanales; Paenibacillaceae. The record is from Rfam by way of RNAcentral.
AAGAUGAGAUUUCCCAAUUAGUAAGACCCCUUGAAGACGACGAGGUAGAUAGGUUGGAGGUGGAAGUGCAGCAAUGCAUGGAGCUGACCAAUACUAAUCGGUCGAGGGCUUAUCCAA